This 357-nucleotide ribosomal RNA is filed under the name uncultured bacterium. RNAcentral's name for it is "bacterial SSU rRNA". It matches the Rfam family "Bacterial small subunit ribosomal RNA", at positions 29 to 376 of the family's 1533-position model. The record is from RNAcentral.
AGCGAACGCUGGCGGUAUGCUUAACACAUGCAAGUCGAGCGCGAAAGUGACUUCGGUCAUAAGUAGAGCGGCGGACGGGUGAGUAACACGUGGAUAAUCUGCCUUUAGGACUGGGAUAACCCUGGGAAACUAGGGCUAAUACCGGAUAAGACCACAGGUUCCAUGGAACCAGGGGUAAAAGGCGGCCUUCGGGCUGUCGCCGAAAGAUGAGUCCGCGUCCCAUCAGGUAGUUGGUGAGGAACGGCUCACCAAGCCGAAGACGGGUAGCCGACCUUAGCGGGUGAUCGGCCACACGGGGACUGAGACACGGCCCCGACUCCUACGGGAGGCAGCAGUGAGGAAUCUUGCGCAAUGGGC